RNAcentral lists this ribosomal RNA (433 nucleotides) under uncultured bacterium. RNAcentral's name for it is "partial 16S ribosomal RNA". It matches the Rfam family "Bacterial small subunit ribosomal RNA", at positions 29 to 507 of the family's 1533-position model. The record is from RNAcentral.
AACGAACGCUGGCGGCAUGCCUAACACAUGCAAGUCGAACGAGACCUUCGGGUCUAGUGGCGCACGGGUGCGUAACGCGUGGGAACCUGCCCUUAGGUUCGGAAUAACUCCCCGAAAGGGGUGCUAAUACCGGAUAAUGUCUUCGGACCAAAGAUUUAUCGCCUUUGGAUGGGCCCGCGUUGGAUUAGCUAGUUGGUAGUGUAAAAGCCUACCAAGGCGACGAUCCAUAGCUGUUCUGAGAGGAUGAUCCGCCACACUGGGACUGAGACACGGCCCAGACUCCUUCGGGGGGGAGGAGGGGGGAAAAUUGGAAAAGGGGGGAAACCCCGAGCCAGCCAAGCCGCGGGAGGGAAGGAGGGCUUUGGGGUGUAAAGCUCUUUUAACCGGGAAUAAAAAGACCGGACCUGGGAAAAAAACCCCCGCCAACUACGUG